RNAcentral lists this transfer RNA (75 nucleotides) under Schistocerca americana (American grasshopper). RNAcentral's name for it is "tRNA-Ser". It matches the Rfam family "tRNA". Rfam says of the family: Transfer RNA (tRNA) molecules are approximately 80 nucleotides in length. Their secondary structure includes four short double-helical elements and three loops (D, anti-codon, and T loops). The record is from RNAcentral. Lineage: Eukaryota; Metazoa; Arthropoda; Insecta; Orthoptera; Acrididae. RNAcentral also lists the same sequence under 1 other name.
UGCUUGGGUAGCUCAGUUGGUAGAGCACUUGCCCCUGAAAGGCAAAGGUCCCGAGUUCAAGUCUCGGCCCGGCAC